GUCAGCGUGGCAUAGUGGUUUGAGUGCCAAACUACAACUCUGGGGAUCAGGGUUCGAUUCCCAGCUUGGCCA
Non-coding RNA from Phrynosoma platyrhinos (Desert horned lizard), 72 nucleotides. The record is from the annotation of a GenBank genome assembly. Lineage: Eukaryota; Metazoa; Chordata; Lepidosauria; Squamata; Phrynosomatidae.